CUGGGAGAGUUCGGAUGGUAGUAUGGAAGCUCGGACAGCUGGGGGAGUUCAGAAAGACAUCGCACAAGGUUGGAAGCCGAAAGAGCCUUAGGAGGGUCGGCCUCUUAUGAACUUUGGCUGGGGUUAUUUUAUACCCAACACCAGUCCCCCUACUUUCGAGUUCGGAUUCCAAAUGAAGAAAGUACAGAAAAAUUUUCACAGCCG
RNAcentral lists this long non-coding RNA (204 nucleotides) under Elaeis guineensis (African oil palm). RNAcentral describes it as "long non-coding RNA (EGUI_LNC073787)". The record is from RNAcentral. Lineage: Eukaryota; Viridiplantae; Streptophyta; Magnoliopsida; Arecales; Arecaceae.